UCCUUUAUCCCCCACCUCAGGAGGAGGAGCUGCUGCUACAGGGAGGAAUAUGCUGGCAAUCUACCUUUGGAAAGUCCUUGACCAAUUGUUUUGGUAAAUGGACAAGUGUAGCAGCCCCAGCCUCAGGCAGGUAUAGUGCCCAGGAUUUCAUGCCAGUGAUGACCCAUCUAGAAGAGCAGAGGUGAUAUCUGAGGACUAUCAAUUUAUGGCAAUGGAUUGGUCAAGGUAGGAUAAAGAAACUUGGAAAGAACUAUCAUGAUACCUGCCCUGAGAAGCCGAAAUUUGGUUUAACUUUGUGUUGUUUACUGUUUGGUUCUAGAAAAACUAAGUUUAUAAAAUAUUGUAUGACAGGUGAAUUUAAAUAUUACUAACCAUCUUGGAUGUCCUGCUCUUCUGCUCUACAGCAAUAACAUCUCUCUAAAUGC
Molecule: long non-coding RNA, 425 nt
Filed under: Pongo abelii (Sumatran orangutan)
Lineage: Eukaryota; Metazoa; Chordata; Mammalia; Primates; Hominidae
Description: lincRNA
Source: RNAcentral